This 494-nucleotide ribosomal RNA is filed under the name uncultured bacterium. RNAcentral describes it as "bacterial SSU rRNA". It matches the Rfam family "Bacterial small subunit ribosomal RNA", at positions 30 to 523 of the family's 1533-position model. The record is from RNAcentral.
AUUGAACGCUGGCGGAAUGCUUUACACAUGCAAGUCGAACGGUAGAGGGGGCAACCCCUUGAGAGUGGCGAACGGGUGAGUAAUAUAUCGGAACGUGCCCAGUCGUGGGGAUAACGUAGCGAAAGUUACGCUAAUACCGCAUACGAUCUAAGGAUGAAAGCGGGGGAUCGCAAGACCUCGCGCGAUUGGAGCGGCCGAUAUCAGAUUAGGUAGUUGGUGAGGUAAAGGCUCACCAAGCCAACGAUCUGCAGCUGGUCUGAGAGGACGACCAGCCACACUGGAACUGAGACACGGUCCAGACUCCUACGGGAGGCAGCAGUGGGAAUUUUGGACAAUGGACGCAAGUCUGAUCCAGCCAUUCCGCGUGCAGGAUGAAGGCCCUCGGGUUGUAAACUGCUUUUGUACGGAACGAAAAGGUUUGUCUUAAUACGAUGAGCUCAUGACGGUACCGUAAGAAUAAGCACCGGCUAACUACGUGCCAGCAGCCGCGGUAA